GAUGAAGAACGUAGCGAAAUGCGAUACGUAAUGUGAAUUGCAGAAUUCAGUGAAUCAUCGAAUCUUUGAACGCUUAUUGCGCUCUCUGGUAUUCCGGAGAGCAUGCUUGUUUGAGUAUCAGUAAACACCUCAACUUCCAUAUCUUUUUUGAAAUGGGAGUUGGACUUGAGUGAUCCCAACGCUUUUCCUCACCGAAAAGUGGCGGGUUACUUGAAAUGCAGGUGCAGCUGGACUUUUCUCUGAGCUAUAAGCAUAUCUAUUUAGUCUGCCUAAAAAACAGAUUAUUACCUUUGCUGCAGCUAACAUAAAGGAGAUUAGUUCUUGUGCUGACUGAUGCAGGAUUCACAAAGACAGGCUUCGGCCGACUUUGUAAACUCGAUCUCAAAUCAAGUAAGACUACCCGCUGAACUUAAGCAUAUCAAUAAGCGGAGGA
This 433-nucleotide unclassified non-coding RNA is filed under the name soil metagenome. RNAcentral's name for it is "partial contains 5.8S ribosomal RNA, internal transcribed spacer 2, and large subunit ribosomal RNA". The stretch from base 1 to 120 matches the Rfam family "5.8S ribosomal RNA", at positions 35 to 154 of the family's 154-position model. The record is from RNAcentral.